Molecule: non-coding RNA, 281 nt
Organism: Schizosaccharomyces pombe (fission yeast)
Lineage: Eukaryota; Fungi; Ascomycota; Schizosaccharomycetes; Schizosaccharomycetales; Schizosaccharomycetaceae
Source: the annotation of a GenBank genome assembly
CGGUUUGACUACAACAUGGCAAUAAACCCCAGCCAUCUGUGCCCUUUAUUCAACAGCUAGUAAACAAACACAAAGGCACUCAAUGGCUGGUGCUCUGCAUAGCCUCAAACAUAAGUAUGUUAGUUUUAACUGCUUCUUCAGAAUAGUUCUUUUUAGUAAAAAAAGGACACAGAUUCUCGAUAAAUAACUAUUGAGCUUUUACAUUAUUCAUUGAUUAGUUUUCAUCAGGGUAACGUUCAAGUUGACGCUUCUAAGCAUUAGAAGUUAUAAUUGACGUAAAA